GACGAACGCUGGCGGCGUGCUUAACACAUGCAAGUCGAACGGAAAGGCGCUGCUCUUGUUGGGUGCUCGAGUGGCGAACGGGUGAGUAACACGUGAGUAACCUGCCCUUGCCUUUGGGAUAACUUCAGGAAACUGGGGCUAAUAUCGGAUAGGAUCUUCUGGUGCAUGGUGGGGGUUGGUAAGUGUCGGCGGUUGGGGCUGUACUCUAGGCUCAUCAGCUUGUUGGUGGGGUAGGGGCUGACCAAGGCUUUGACGGGUAGGCGGCCUGAGCGGGGUACCGGCAACGUGGGGACUGCGAUAGGGCGCAGCAGGGUAGGGUAGGCAACAGUGGGGAAUAUUGCGCAGCAGGCGGAAGCCUGAUGCAGCAGCGCCGCGUGCGUGAUGACGGCCUUUGGGUUGUAAACCGCUUUCGCCUGUGAUGAAGCGUGAGUGACGGUAACGGGUAAAGAAGCACCGGCUAACUACGUG
This 468-nucleotide ribosomal RNA is filed under the name uncultured bacterium. RNAcentral describes it as "partial 16S ribosomal RNA". It matches the Rfam family "Bacterial small subunit ribosomal RNA", at positions 28 to 507 of the family's 1533-position model. The record is from RNAcentral.